Molecule: unclassified non-coding RNA, 757 nt
Filed under: Leguminivora glycinivorella
Lineage: Eukaryota; Metazoa; Arthropoda; Insecta; Lepidoptera; Tortricidae
Description: uncharacterized LOC125230371, transcript variant X1
Source: RNAcentral
UGCAUUGUUCUUUCCAUACUUUUAAUUUAAAAAUUGAGUUUCGUUUAAAGUUUAAUAGAAAUUGCAUAUGCCAUCCUUAUUUUGUGAUAAAAACGUAAGGUGAUAAAUUCAUUUGCAAUCAAAGGCACUGCUUUCUUUAAAAAGGUGAAUUUAAACUCAACUGUAUCUAUUUCUUUCUAAUUACGCUGACGCAAAGUGGUUCUAUUCUAACAUCGCGCCUGCUUGCAUCUUGGUUUGUGUUCGCAUAUGCACAGUUUCGUUUGCACAAUUUCAGUGGAUUCCGUGGACAACCGUCGCAGUGCGUAUCGCGUGCCACAUCUGUAGUGCCACGCCCAUACCUGCCACCACGUGGCAAGUUGUCCAAGGGACUGCUGCCGCAACACACCUCGGCCUAGCUGUUGAAGUUUAAAAGGCGCGCCGCUCACGUCGCUGCCGGGCCCGCCGCUCGACGACCGCAACCCGCACCGCCUGGACCGCUACCUGAGGCUGGAGCAGCUACGGCAACACUUCUGGAAGCGCUGGUCGGCCGAGUACGUGUCUCUACAACAGCAACGCUACAAAUGGCGCGAGAGGCAACGUGACCUACAACUGGGAGAAGUAGUACUCAUCAAGGAGGAGGGCUUACCGCCGUUGCUCUGGCGCAUGGGCAGAGUCGUCAAACUAUACCACGGGAAGGAUGGCGUACCUCGCGUGGCAGACAUCAAUACCGCUAGAGGGGUGAUCAAGCGUGCGCUGAACAGAAUAUGCCCGCUCUCGU